AACGAACGCUGGCGGCAUGCCUAACACAUGCAAGUCGAACGAGACCUUCGGGUCUAGUGGCGCACGGGUGCGUAACGCGUGGGAACCUGCCCUUAGGUUCGGAAUAACUCCCCGAAAGGGGUGCUAAUACCGGAUAAUGUCUUCGGACCAAAGAUUUAUCGCCCUUGGAUGGGCCCGCGUUGGUUUAGCUAGUUGGUAGGGUAAAAGCCUAUCAAGGCGACGAUCCAUAGCUGGUCUGAGAGGCAGAUCAGCCACACUGGGACUGAGACACGGCCCAGACUCCUACGGGAGGGAGCAGAGGGGGAUAUAGGACGAUGGGGUGAAGCCUGAACCAGCAAUGCCGGGUAAGUGAUGAAGGCCUUAGGGUUGUGAAGCACUUUUACCCGGGAUGAUAAUGACAGUACCGGGAGAAUAAGCUCCGGCUAACUCCGUG
Molecule: ribosomal RNA, 433 nt
Filed under: uncultured bacterium
Lineage: Bacteria
Description: partial 16S ribosomal RNA
Rfam family: Bacterial small subunit ribosomal RNA
Source: RNAcentral